This 289-nucleotide ribosomal RNA is filed under the name uncultured bacterium. RNAcentral's name for it is "partial 16S ribosomal RNA". It matches the Rfam family "Bacterial small subunit ribosomal RNA", at positions 333 to 639 of the family's 1533-position model. The record is from RNAcentral.
CUUACCCUACGGGACGUAGCAGUGGGGGAUAUUGCACAAUGGGGGGAACCCUGAUGCAGCGACGCCGCGUGGGUGAAGGAGCGUUUCGGCGCGUAAAGCCCUAUCGGCAGGGAAGAAGAUGACGGUACCUGACCAAGAAGCCCCGGCUAAUUACGUGCCAGCAGCCGCAGUAAUACGUAGGGGGCAAGCGUUAUCCGGAUUUACUGGGUGUAAAGGGGGCGCAGACGGCAAUGCAAGCCAGGAGUGAAAGCCCGGGGCCCAACCCCGGGACUGCUCUUGGAACUGCAUG